This 83-nucleotide transfer RNA is filed under the name Planctomycetaceae bacterium. Its description in RNAcentral is "tRNA-Leu". It matches the Rfam family "tRNA". Rfam says of the family: Transfer RNA (tRNA) molecules are approximately 80 nucleotides in length. Their secondary structure includes four short double-helical elements and three loops (D, anti-codon, and T loops). The record is from RNAcentral. Lineage: Bacteria; Pseudomonadati; Planctomycetota; Planctomycetia; Planctomycetales; Planctomycetaceae.
GGCGAAGUGGUGAAAUCGGUAGACACGCGACGCUCAGAACGUCGUGCCCUUGAGGCGUGGGAGUUCGACUCUCCCCUUCGUCA